ACCCGGAUAGCUCUGUCGGUAGAGAAUCAGACUUUUAAUCUGAGGGUCCAGGGUUCAAGUCCCUGUUUGGGCA
RNAcentral lists this transfer RNA (73 nucleotides) under Danio rerio (zebrafish). It matches the Rfam family "tRNA". From Rfam's summary of the family: Transfer RNA (tRNA) molecules are approximately 80 nucleotides in length. Their secondary structure includes four short double-helical elements and three loops (D, anti-codon, and T loops). Further hydrogen bonds mediate the characteristic L-shaped molecular structure. tRNAs have two regions of fundamental functional importance: the anti-codon, which is responsible for specific mRNA codon recognition, and the 3' end, to which the tRNAs corresponding amino acid is attached (by aminoacyl-tRNA synthetases). tRNAs cope with the degeneracy of the genetic code in two manners: having more than one tRNA (with a specific anti-codon) for a particular amino acid; and 'wobble' base-pairing, i.e. permitting non-standard base-pairing at the 3rd anti-codon position. The record is from Rfam by way of RNAcentral. Lineage: Eukaryota; Metazoa; Chordata; Actinopteri; Cypriniformes; Danionidae.